UACGGAGGGUGCAAGCGUUAUCCGGAUUCACUGGGGUUAAAGGGUGCGUAGGUGGGCAGGUAAGUCCGUGGUGAAAUCUCCGAGCUUAACUCGGAAACUGCCGUUGAUACUAUUUGUCUUGAAUAUUGUGGAGGUAAGCGGAAUAUGUCAUGUAGCGGUGAAAUGCUUAGAUAUGACAUAGAACACCAAUUGCGAAGGCAGCUUACUACACAACGAUUGACGCUGAGGCACGAAAGCGUGGGGAUCAAACAGG
This 253-nucleotide ribosomal RNA is filed under the name uncultured bacterium. RNAcentral describes it as "partial 16S ribosomal RNA". It matches the Rfam family "Bacterial small subunit ribosomal RNA", at positions 524 to 776 of the family's 1533-position model. The record is from RNAcentral.